This 2917-nucleotide ribosomal RNA is filed under the name Staphylococcus aureus. RNAcentral describes it as "bacterial LSU rRNA". It matches the Rfam family "Bacterial large subunit ribosomal RNA". Lineage: Bacteria; Bacillati; Bacillota; Bacilli; Caryophanales; Staphylococcaceae. The record is from RNAcentral.
UUAAGUUAUUAAGGGCGCACGGUGGAUGCCUUGGCACUAGAAGCCGAUGAAGGACGUUACUAACGACGAUAUGCUUUGGGGAGCUGUAAGUAAGCUUUGAUCCAGAGAUUUCCGAAUGGGGAAACCCAGCAUGAGUUAUGUCAUGUUAUCGAUAUGUGAAUACAUAGCAUAUCAGAAGGCACACCCGGAGAACUGAAACAUCUUAGUACCCGGAGGAAGAGAAAGAAAAUUCGAUUCCCUUAGUAGCGGCGAGCGAAACGGGAAGAGCCCAAACCAACAAGCUUGCUUGUUGGGGUUGUAGGACACUCUGUACGGAGUUACAAAGGACGACAUUAGACGAAUCAUCUGGAAAGAUGAAUCAAAGAAGGUAAUAAUCCUGUAGUCGAAAAUGUUGUCUCUCUUGAGUGGAUCCUGAGUACGACGGAGCACGUGAAAUUCCGUCGGAAUCUGGGAGGACCAUCUCCUAAGGCUAAAUACUCUCUAGUGACCGAUAGUGAACCAGUACCGUGAGGGAAAGGUGAAAGCACCCCGGAAGGGGAGUGAAAUAGAACCUGAAACCGUGUGCUUACAAGUAGUCAGAGCCCGUUAAUGGGUGAUGGCGUGCCUUUUGUAGAAUGAACCGGCGAGUUACGAUUUGAUGCAAGGUUAAGCAGUAAAUGUGGAGCCGUAGCGAAAGCGAGUCUGAAUAGGGCGUUUAGUAUUUGGUCGUAGACCCGAAACCAGGUGAUCUACCCUUGGUCAGGUUGAAGUUCAGGUAACACUGAAUGGAGGACCGAACCGACUUACGUUGAAAAGUGAGCGGAUGAACUGAGGGUAGCGGAGAAAUUCCAAUCGAACCUGGAGAUAGCUGGUUCUCUCCGAAAUAGCUUUAGGGCUAGCCUCAAGUGAUGAUUAUUGGAGGUAGAGCACUGUUUGGACGAGGGGCCCUCUCGGGUUACCGAAUUCAGACAAACUCCGAAUGCCAAUUAAUUUAACUUGGGAGUCAGAACAUGGGUGAUAAGGUCCGUGUUCGAAAGGGAAACAGCCCAGACCACCAGCUAAGGUCCCAAAUAUAUGUUAAGUGGAAAGGAUGUGGCGUUGCCCAGACAACUAGGAUGUUGGCUUAGAAGCAGCCAUCAUUUAAAGAGUGCGUAAUAGCUCACUAGUCGAGUGACACUGCGCCGAAAAUGUACCGGGGCUAAACAUAUUACCGAAGCUGUGGAUUGUCCUUUGGACAAUGGUAGGAGAGCGUUCUAAGGGCGUUGAAGCAUGAUCGUAAGGACAUGUGGAGCGCUUAGAAGUGAGAAUGCCGGUGUGAGUAGCGAAAGACGGGUGAGAAUCCCGUCCACCGAUUGACUAAGGUUUCCAGAGGAAGGCUCGUCCGCUCUGGGUUAGUCGGGUCCUAAGCUGAGGCCGACAGGCGUAGGCGAUGGAUAACAGGUUGAUAUUCCUGUACCACCUAUAAUCGUUUUAAUCGAUGGGGGGACGCAGUAGGAUAGGCGAAGCGUGCGAUUGGAUUGCACGUCUAAGCAGUAAGGCUGAGUAUUAGGCAAAUCCGGUACUCGUUAAGGCUGAGCUGUGAUGGGGAGAAGACAUUGUGUCUUCGAGUCGUUGAUUUCACACUGCCGAGAAAAGCCUCUAGAUAGAAAAUAGGUGCCCGUACCGCAAACCGACACAGGUAGUCAAGAUGAGAAUUCUAAGGUGAGCGAGCGAACUCUCGUUAAGGAACUCGGCAAAAUGACCCCGUAACUUCGGGAGAAGGGGUGCUCUUUAGGGUUAACGCCCAGAAGAGCCGCAGUGAAUAGGCCCAAGCGACUGUUUAUCAAAAACACAGGUCUCUGCUAAACCGUAAGGUGAUGUAUAGGGGCUGACGCCUGCCCGGUGCUGGAAGGUUAAGAGGAGUGGUUAGCUUCUGCGAAGCUACGAAUCGAAGCCCCAGUAAACGGCGGCCGUAACUAUAACGGUCCUAAGGUAGCGAAAUUCCUUGUCGGGUAAGUUCCGACCCGCACGAAAGGCGUAACGAUUUGGGCACUGUCUCAACGAGAGACUCGGUGAAAUCAUAGUACCUGUGAAGAUGCAGGUUACCCGCGACAGGACGGAAAGACCCCGUGGAGCUUUACUGUAGCCUGAUAUUGAAAUUCGGCACAGCUUGUACAGGAUAGGUAGGAGCCUUUGAAACGUGAGCGCUAGCUUACGUGGAGGCGCUGGUGGGAUACUACCCUAGCUGUGUUGGCUUUCUAACCCGCACCACUUAUCGUGGUGGGAGACAGUGUCAGGCGGGCAGUUUGACUGGGGCGGUCGCCUCCUAAAAGGUAACGGAGGCGCUCAAAGGUUCCCUCAGAAUGGUUGGAAAUCAUUCAUAGAGUGUAAAGGCAUAAGGGAGCUUGACUGCGAGACCUACAAGUCGAGCAGGGUCGAAAGACGGACUUAGUGAUCCGGUGGUUCCGCAUGGAAGGGCCAUCGCUCAACGGAUAAAAGCUACCCCGGGGAUAACAGGCUUAUCUCCCCCAAGAGUUCACAUCGACGGGGAGGUUUGGCACCUCGAUGUCGGCUCAUCGCAUCCUGGGGCUGUAGUCGGUCCCAAGGGUUGGGCUGUUCGCCCAUUAAAGCGGUACGCGAGCUGGGUUCAGAACGUCGUGAGACAGUUCGGUCCCUAUCCGUCGUGGGCGUAGGAAAUUUGAGAGGAGCUGUCCUUAGUACGAGAGGACCGGGAUGGACAUACCUCUGGUGUACCAGUUGUCGUGCCAACGGCAUAGCUGGGUAGCUAUGUGUGGACGGGAUAAGUGCUGAAAGCAUCUAAGCAUGAAGCCCCCCUCAAGAUGAGAUUUCCCAACUUCGGUUAUAAGAUCCCUCAAAGAUGAUGAGGUUAAUAGGUUCGAGGUGGAAGCAUGGUGACAUGUGGAGCUGACGAAUACUAAUCGAUCGAAGACUUAAUCAA